Pseudopipra pipra is the source of this 988-nucleotide long non-coding RNA. RefSeq lists it as uncharacterized. NCBI's taxonomy places the organism in Eukaryota, Metazoa, Chordata, Aves, Passeriformes, Pipridae. The transcript has 2 exons. The record is from RefSeq and is a predicted model, not a curated record.
AGCCUCUGCCAAGGCGGCAGACCUUGCCGAAGUAGCUUCAGUUGCUACGGCAACACUUGAAGGGACAACUCCAGCUGCCGCGACCACAGUUUCCAUGGUUUCACUUCCUGGUUCUGAAGAGACGACAGCUGAUGACGUAACUUCAGGCGACAUGAUGAGUCCAGGUAGUGGCGAUGUAGCGACAUCUAGUGGCUCGGAGGCUUCUAGCAGCUCUGUUCCAGAUGACGCAUGCUCAGAAACAACUUCUGACUCUGCUGACCGCGCAGGCUCAGAAGAAGGUGGCAGUGCUGGCAACGCAGGCGCAGAGAAGGGCGGUGGCGCUGGCAGAGUGCCAGCGUCGCUCUGCACUGUUCCUAUUUCUCUUACAGUCUCUGCUGGCACAAACGCGCUGCUAAACUGAGUGAGAUCCGCUGCUUUUAUUAGCGAUCUCGGCUGUGUAGCUGCAGGCACUAGGACCUCCUCAUAAACAGAUCUGUCGGCUCGGAGACACGGCGCAGUCUCACUAAAUCCCGGCAAAGUUCCCUGAGCAGUUACAAGUUUUCGCUGAUCCGUAGUUAACUCUUUCAGCGAUUCAACGACCAAGCGCCAAACUUUAGGAAUCAGUGGACCCCAUACUCCCACCAGCUGACUCACCGGGCCAAGGCGAGCUUCCAAUUUGACCGUGCACGGCUUUGAUCACAGCACCGGGGUUCAGCGCUGUCUCUAACAGCUGCUUCCUUCGGCUCUCCGUUUGUCUUCUGUCCCGAAGAACUGACGAACUUUGAGUCCCUGUUCGGGCGCCAAUUGUUGAUGGAAGGGUAUGGACAGAUUGCUCCAGGAUCAAUAUGAUCAGGCAAAUGUCGGAUUUAUUAGGAGAAAGACAGAUUAUAUAGUGCUCAUGACGCUCAGCUUCUUGUUCACACAACAUUGGUUACAUAAGGAAAACAUGCUCUGCUGUUCCCUGCUAAUUGGACCACAACAGGUGGUCAUAGGAGAUGAGAAAACUUUA